RNAcentral lists this ribosomal RNA (817 nucleotides) under uncultured bacterium. RNAcentral's name for it is "bacterial SSU rRNA". It matches the Rfam family "Bacterial small subunit ribosomal RNA", at positions 609 to 1427 of the family's 1533-position model. The record is from RNAcentral.
UCANCCAUAGUGUGCUCUGGAAACUGUCUGACUUGAGUGCAGAAGGGGAGAGUGGAAUUCCAUGUGUAGCGGUGAAAUGCGUAGAUAUAUGGAGGAACACCAGUGGCGAAAGCGGCUCUCUGGUCUGUCACUGACGNUGAGGCUCGAAAGCGUGGGUAGCGAACAGGAUUAGAUACCCUGGUAGUCCACGCCGUAAACGAUGAGUGCUAGGUGUUAGGCCUUUUCCGGGGCUUAGUGCCGGAGCUAACGCAAUAAGCACUCCGCCUGGGGAGUACGACCGCAAGGUUGAAACUCAAAGGAAUUGACGGGGGCCCGCACAAGCGGUGGAGCAUGUGGUUUAAUUCGAAGCAACGCGAAGAACCUUACCAGGUCUUGACAUCCCGAUGCUAUUCUUAGAGAUAGGAAGUUACUUCGGUACAUCGGAGACAGGUGGUGCAUGGUUGUCGUCAGCUCGUGUCGUGAGAUGUUGGGUUAAGUCCCGCAACGAGCGCAACCCUUAUUGUUAGUUGCCAUCAUUAAGUUGGGCACUCUAGCGAGACUGCCGGUAAUAAACCGGAGGAAGGUGGGGAUGACGUCAAAUCAUCAUGCCCCUUAUGACCUGGGCUACACACGUGCUACAAUGGUCGGUACAACGAGUUGCGAGCCGGUGACGGCAAGCUAAUCUCUGAAAGCCGAUCUCAGUUCGGAUUGGAGGCUGCAACUCGCCUCCAUGAAGUCGGAAUCGCUAGUAAUCGCGGAUCAGCACGCCGCGGUGAAUACGUUCCCGGGCCUUGUACACACCGCCCGUCACACCACGAGAGUUUGUAACACCCGAANU